AUUGAACGCUGGCGGCAGGCCUAACACAUGCAAGUCGAGCGGAUGAAGGGAGCUUGCUCCUGGCUUCAGCGGCGGACGGGUGAGUAAUGCCUAGGAAUCUGCCUGGUAGAGGGGGAUAACGUCCGGAAACGGGAGCUAAUACCGCAUACGUCCUGAGGGAGAAAGUGGGGGAUCUUCGGACCUCACGCUAUCAGAUGAGCCUAGGUCGGAUUAGCUAGUUGGUGGGGUAAAGGCCUACCAAGGCGACGAUCCGUAACUGGUCUGAGAGGAUGAUCAGUCACACUGGAACUGAGACACGGUCCAGACUCCUACGGGAGGCAGCAGUGGGGAAUAUUGGACAAUGGGCGAAAGCCUGAUCCAGCCAUGCCGCGUGUGUGAAGAAGGUCUUCGGAUUGUAAAGCACUGUAAGUUGGGAGGAAGGGCAGUAUGUUAAUAUCUUGCUGUCUUGACGUUACCAACAGAAUAAGCACCGGCUAACUUCGUG
RNAcentral lists this ribosomal RNA (484 nucleotides) under uncultured bacterium. RNAcentral describes it as "partial 16S ribosomal RNA". It matches the Rfam family "Bacterial small subunit ribosomal RNA", at positions 30 to 507 of the family's 1533-position model. The record is from RNAcentral.